GACGAACGCUGGCGGCGUGCCUAAUACAUGCAAGUCGAACGAAGCUUUUUUAACUGGUGCUUGCACCGACUUAAACAACUGAGUGGCGAACGGGUGAGUAACACGUGGGUAACCUGCCCCAAAGCGGGGGAUAACAUUUGGAAACAGAUGCUAAUACCGCAUAACCACAGAAACCACAUGGUUUCUGUGUCAAAGAUGGUUUCGGCUAUCACUUUGGGAUGGACCCGCGGCGUAUUAGCUAGUUGGUAAGGUAAUGGCUUACCAAGGCAAUGAUACGUGGCCGAACUGAGAGGUUGAUCGGCCACAUUGGGACUGAGACACGGCCCAAACUCCUACGGGAGGCAGCAGUAGGGAAUCUUUCACAAUGGACGAAAGUCUGAUGGAGCAACGCCGCGUGAGUGAAGAAGGUUUUCGGAUCGUAAAACUCUGUUGUCAGAGAAGAACGUGUGCGAGAGUAACUGUUCGUGCAGUGACGGUAUCUGGCCAGAAAGCCACGGCUAACUACGUGCCAGCCGCCGCCGUAA
This 524-nucleotide ribosomal RNA is filed under the name uncultured bacterium. RNAcentral describes it as "partial 16S ribosomal RNA". It matches the Rfam family "Bacterial small subunit ribosomal RNA", at positions 28 to 523 of the family's 1533-position model. The record is from RNAcentral.